AUGAAGUCAUUGGCCAUUUGUGAUUAGCUCGGUCUCCAGCUCCUUUCCCCUCCCAGGGGUUUGGGAGGUGGGGCUGCAAGUUCUACCCUCUGAUCAAGGCCUGAUGUUCUGCCUUCACCCCGCAGCUUCCCAAGGGUUCCCAGACACCAGUCAUUUCAUAUCAUACAAACAGAACUCAUCACUCUGGAGAUUCCAGGAGUUUUAGGAGCCAUUUACCAGGAACUAGGGACAAAGAACAAAUCAAACAUCUGCUUCCUGGGGAGCUGCAGGAGGCCAUGGAGAUAAAGAGAAUGGAAAUGGAGCUGCCAGCACAACGAAGGAACACAGGUUUGAGGUGGGCUGUGCUAUGUAUGAACUUUCCUAGAAGAGAAGCUGGAGUGUGACCAUGACAUCUGCCAGUGGAAGUGGAGACAGUCACAUCCUCAUUAAGAGGGGGCUCAAACUUCAGUGUGCGUGAGAAUUACUCAGACAGCUUAUUCGGUCACAGAUGGCUGAUUCAGUAGGGCUGAACCAGACUCAGAACACUUGGUCUAUAGGAACCACAGGAGGUUAGAGAAGGGGAAAACCAGCACAGACUCUGGUGGUGGAGAAGUUCAGGUAAGUGUGUGAUUCUGCUGGUUCCUUUGCUUGAGUGUUGGCCUCACUUUAGGUGGGGCUUGGUGGAUCUUUCAGUGACUUCAGAAAGUGGAUGGAAUGAAAUGGAGCCUCAUUUGGUUUGGCAGAAGAUUGGGGUAUUUGGAUAGGUCGUGAUCAGGAUGGGAGAUGUUGUAGACCAGGGAAACCCUGUGAACAAAAUCACCACACCUGAAAUGAUCUCUGAAUGUCCUGUUCACCCUGUUGGGAAAGCUCAGCUCCAUCCAAUCACAUGGG
RNAcentral lists this long non-coding RNA (870 nucleotides) under Sus scrofa (pig). Its description in RNAcentral is "lncRNA (ENSSSCG00025058269.1, ENSSSCG00070024779.1)". Lineage: Eukaryota; Metazoa; Chordata; Mammalia; Artiodactyla; Suidae. The record is from RNAcentral.